CGAUGUGGCUCAGGUGGUAGAGCAACUGAUUCGUAAUCAGUAGGUCGGGAGUUCGAGUCUCCCCAUCGGC
RNAcentral lists this transfer RNA (70 nucleotides) under bovine gut metagenome. It matches the Rfam family "tRNA". Rfam says of the family: Transfer RNA (tRNA) molecules are approximately 80 nucleotides in length. Their secondary structure includes four short double-helical elements and three loops (D, anti-codon, and T loops). The record is from RNAcentral.